This 65-nucleotide ribosomal RNA is filed under the name Albizia julibrissin (silk tree). RNAcentral's name for it is "partial 26S ribosomal RNA". The record is from RNAcentral. Lineage: Eukaryota; Viridiplantae; Streptophyta; Magnoliopsida; Fabales; Fabaceae.
GACCCCAGGUACAGGCGGGGCUACCCGUUGAGUUUAAGCUUAUCAUAUCAAUAAGCGGAGGAAAG